Molecule: ribosomal RNA, 523 nt
Filed under: uncultured bacterium
Lineage: Bacteria
Description: bacterial SSU rRNA
Rfam family: Bacterial small subunit ribosomal RNA
Source: RNAcentral
UUGGGCGUAAAGAGCUUGUAGGCGGUUUGUCGCGUCUGCUGUGAAAGGCCGGAGCUUAACUCCGUGUAUUGCAGUGGGUACGGGCAGACUAGAGUGCAGUAGGGGAGACUGGAAUUCCUGGUGUAGCGGUGGAAUGCGCAGAUAUCAGGAGGAACACCGAUGGCGAAGGCAGGUCUCUGGGCUGUAACUGACGCUGAGAAGCGAAAGCAUGGGGAGCGAACAGGAUUAGAUACCCUGGUAGUCCAUGCCGUAAACGUUGGGCACUAGGUGUGGGGAACAUUCCACGUUUUCCGCGCCGUAGCUAACGCAUUAAGUGCCCCGCCUGGGGAGUACGGCCGCAAGGCUAAAACUCAAAGAAAUUGACGGGGGCCCGCACAAGCGGCGGAGCAUGCGGAUUAAUUCGAUGCAACGCGAAGAACCUUACCAAGGCUUGACAUAUACUGGACCGCAUCAGAGAUGGUGUUUCCCUUCGGGGCUGGUAUACAGGUGGUGCAUGGUUGUCGUCAGCUCGUGUCGUGAGAAG